UCUCUUUCACUACUGUGUAUAACUCUCUCACUACCAUCUGAAAUUCUCCAAAUUGAUGGGGUGGGUCUCUGGAAUUCUCCAACUCGGGGCAUGUGCCUGUGGAAUUCUCCAGAUCGACAAUGUGGGUCUUCUAAAUUCUCCAAAUUAGGGGUGAAACAUAGAUCCGAUUAAAGCUCCUAGAAAAUCUGGUAAACAAUUCAUUAUUGUUCUUAAGUUUUAUCGGGAUUAUCCAUGGAGAACAAAAGAAAAUGUUUUUGUAAAAAUAAGCUAUUUGAUACUAGUGGAUCGCCU
RNAcentral lists this long non-coding RNA (291 nucleotides) under Olea europaea (common olive). RNAcentral's name for it is "long non-coding RNA (OEUR_LNC009197)". Lineage: Eukaryota; Viridiplantae; Streptophyta; Magnoliopsida; Lamiales; Oleaceae. The record is from RNAcentral.